CGGACGGGUGAGUAACGCGUGGGUAACCUGCCUUGUACUGGGGGACAACAGUUGGAAACGACUGCUAAUACCGCAUAAGCGCACGGCAUCGCAUGAUGCAGUGUGAAAAACUCCGGUGGUAUAAGAUGGACCCGCGUUGGAUUAGCUAGUUGGUGAGGUAACGGCCCACCAAGGCGACGAUCCAUAGCCGACCUGAGAGGGUGACCGGCCACAUUGGGACUGAGACACGGCCCAA
RNAcentral lists this ribosomal RNA (235 nucleotides) under uncultured bacterium. RNAcentral describes it as "partial 16S ribosomal RNA". It matches the Rfam family "Bacterial small subunit ribosomal RNA", at positions 99 to 334 of the family's 1533-position model. The record is from RNAcentral.